This is a non-coding RNA of Rattus norvegicus (Norway rat), 4565 nucleotides long. Lineage: Eukaryota; Metazoa; Chordata; Mammalia; Rodentia; Muridae. The record is from RefSeq and is a predicted model, not a curated record.
GAGGUGACAGACCGGGCAACUUUCUAAUUUGUUCCUUUUGGUGUGAAGGUGUUACACUCCUCUGAAGUUUUAGGCAUGAUUGAUCAAGGGGAGUCCUAGAACAUCUGAGAUUGCGUACUGUCCAGGUGUCCCCUGACCACUGUACUCUUACAUGCUCCAAAGAACUCUAAGACCUUUAGUUUCUCAAGGCUUGGCCUCUGUGAUUUUGGUGGGAUCUCUCGAAAUCUUGUGGUGGGUAUCCACCAGAGAAGACUACUUGGCCAUGGGUGUAAGCCAAUAGAAAAUCUUUAUAAGUCAGCCAGCAACCACACUGGGUGUUUGGGGUUCCAGUGUAGCCCCAAGCCUUUCUCAGGGUGAACUUUUAAGCACAAAACCACAUCCUGGGCUGACAUACUUCAGUUAACAAGAACAGUUAGCCAGAAGCAGAACUACAGAGCCCAAAAGGCAAGGCCUGGAACUCCCCAUCUUCUCCCCGAGCCACCAAGUUGGCAAGACUCUCCCACCCCUGUACCUGCCAACUGAUGGGUGGAGGCUAGAACUGCUUGGUGUCCUGAGGAACCUGCGCACUCAGGUACCCGUCCUGGGUAACUUAGCUUCUAGCAGCAGAGGCUCCGCAGUGCACCCGCCCCAUCGGACUUGUCUGCUUCUCUGGGUCCCUUGCCCCGACCCAGAUGCAUCCACAUCCGCAUCCGCAGGGCAGAAUUAUGACAAGAGCCCUGUUCAGUUAGCUUCGGUCCGCGGAUUGCAGCCCGGGAGCCGCCUCUUUGCACCUCCUGCAGCCCUCAGCCUAGUCCCUGCCCUCCCAGGGCUGGAGCCUGUGUGAGGAGGAACCAGCCAGUAUAGUGGCCUCUCCUCUGAAAACCCCCAACCCCACCGCCCUUGUAAUCAACGCCCUGUCCAACCAACCUUGCUCCCUCAAGUUGGAACGCUAUCUCCAUUGAUCGCCACCUACAGGUGCCCACACACAUAAUACACAUGCACUCAUAAAAUAAACGAAUAAAUAAAUAGAUAGAUAGAUAGAUAGAUAGAUAGAUAGAUGGAGUAAAAAGGUUCGGAGGUAAGAGAACUUUUUGUGCAAACAUUAGGAUCUGAUUACAACCCCCUAGCACCAUAUAAAGAGCCAGACAAGGUCCCAGUUCCUGAAACUCUGGCCGUGGAGUGGGGUGACCAGGUUCGCUGGGACUUUAGUAGCCCAGCUCCAGGUUUAGUAGUGACAGACUCAGUCUGAAGGAAUAAGACAGAGAGUGGCAAAGCAAGACACCCAGCCACCUUUCUUUGGCCCCAGGAGCUGAGCUGAGUCAGCACUGUCGACGGACCAAAAAAAAAAAAAAAAAAAAAAAAAAAGGUAAAAAUAAUUCAAGCAGUGGAAAGCGAAAGUUGGGAAGCUCUGGUGCUGCACCCUUCUUCAAGUGCCCUGGGCUGACAAGACAGCUCAGAAGGCAAGAUGAUGGUUAUGCAAUCAUGGGACUAGAAUUCAGACCCCUGUCCUCUACUAAUAAACUGCUCUGUGGAGAGAGACCCGAGGAUGGAUGAGGCUUGCUGACUGAUAGCCUGGCCUGGAAAACUCAGCCUUUGGUUCAGGGAGAGACCAUGUCUCACGUCUCUUAAGGCUUCUGCGCAGGAUAGGCGAGUAUACCUGGGAGCUCGUGCGCACACACAUCUAUAUGAGUACUAUGCUCAUGUGUAUAACUCUCAGUUUUUAAAAACAGGAGAGUGUUCCCCUGGGACAGAGGAGAUGGCAGAUAAAGGCGCCUGUUCAGUUCCCAGAAGAAAAAACACACAUGGUGGAAGGAGAAAAGCCAACUGAUCUUGCAAGUUCACCUCUGACCUCCACAAGUGCACUGAUAUGCCUCCUUUCCUCAGUACAUAAGUAAAUGUAAAACCAAGUUUUUAAAAAUGGUUCCUUAAACUCAGCUCUCCCUUCCCACCUGCUGGGUCUUUGGGAUGCUAGUGACUGUCUGUAUGCAGCCCUCCCCAGGCUAUGCACCUUGGACAUGGCUGGGGUGGGAGGAAGGGGGUUGGCUGUGGGUCCUGUUUUUGAGGCUAUUCAGUCUCAGAGACCAAGAAACUAAGAUUCAAAGAGCACCUGCUGUGCUUGCUGGAGGCUGAAGCUGGGCUGUGAAGCUGAAAGGGACAUUGGUGACUUCAGCAGUGGGCUUCAGGGUUCUAGAAAGAUUCCCAGGGCUUCCAUAGCCCAGACUCCAUAGCCCAGACUGACUCAGACAUUAAGACUAGAGAAGACCUUGCCACUUUACUGUGCCAUGUUUAGUCAUCCAGAGAAGCUGUAGGAUUCCCAAGGAAAGUGUUUUCUGUGCGGUUGCUGUAUCAGAAAUGGAGGAAUCACCCUCAGCUCCCAUCUCCUGCACUCUUCACCUGAAUCUACAAUUUCACUUUUAGCCCUAACUCAACUUCAUCCUUUCCCCAGUUUGUCCAUUGUCCAGGUCCUUGUCACAUCCUAAUCUUUGCCCUGCCUUUGGGAGCAAUCCGGUUUGGACCUGCUUGGACUAGUUUGGACUAGCUUGAUCCUGUUUAAGAGCCUGCCUGUUUAAUCCAGUUUACACUGGUUUAAUCCAGUUUGGACAUGUUUAAUUAAUUUCAUCUCAAUUAAGAUACCCCCUUUCAAGAUAUGUCUAGGUUUGUGUCACAUUGACACAAAUUAACAAUUUCUUUCCAGAUUGAUAAUUUUUAAAAAAGAUUUAUUUAUUAUAUAUAAGUACACUAUAGCUCUCUUCAGGCACACCAGAAGAGGGCAUCAGAUCUCAUUACAGAUGGUUGUGAGCCACCAUGUGUGAUUUGAACUCAGGACCUCUGGAAGAGCAGUCAGUGCUCUUAACCACAUAGCCAUCUCUCCAACCCCAGAUUGAUAAUUUUUAAUUUUGUUUUAAGUAAAUCACUUAUAUAGUUUUCCCUAAUACUUUUCACAUAUAUUUGUCAUUUCUAUUAUAUAUAUGUAUCUAUAAAGCCUAAGAAUAUUUUGAGUGAUUCUUUUAGAAAGGCUCCAUCUAUGUACUGUCCUGAAGCUGGAUCCCUCAGGUGUCAGGUAUGCUAACAUGUUUGCAAUCUGCCUGGGUCAUUCAGCUUCUGUGAGCUGUACAGUUGUGGAGUUUUACCUGAGCUGAUUAUUUACCUCUUAGGUAACUUUAGGGAGGACAGGGGCUUUGGGAGGAGCUCCUGAAGGCUGGUGAGCCUCAUGAAAUACCCCCUCUCUCCAGUAGGGGAUGCUCCUAGACCCAGUUUCCUGAGGGCUACCUACAGCUACUCUUUAUUCAAGAUGGAAAAUUUCACAUCCACCUUGAAAGGAACAAGUAUGCAAUAAUGUAUUUUAUAAUGUAAAUCCAAAAGAAAGUACUCCCAGGUAAUGUCGGUAUCUUUUAAUCUUUUGCCCCAAAAUGUAAUUGUUUUGCCUUCUUGCCCCUUUCCAUUUCACAACAUUUACAUAGAAAACUUUUAAUAAGACAGUCAUUUACAUAGCCAACAAGUUGGGCAGGGCAGGAUAUAGGUAGACAUCAGCCUGGUGCUGUGGGAGCCAAAGCCUGCUAAAGGGUGAAGUGACAUUCACAUAGGGCAAGCCUGAAUGUGCAUGGUAAGGAUCUAUCUUCACAAACUGGGGCAAUGUUGGUGAUGAGAGACGCGCUGUGUAAAACAGCUUGAACCAUCAAUUAGAUCAGUAGAGAAAUGGGCUCCACUACAGAAAAGACAGCAAUUAGUUCUUCAGUGAUGGACUUGAGAUAGGUCCAUGACCUUAAGUUUUGAAUAGUGUCAGUUCUGUUGUGACAUAUGCCCCAGUAAAUGCUAUUAUGCCUUAGAAAGUCACACAAGACAAUCAAGAGUUUAUUGAAAAACAAAGUUGGAACAGGAAACUCAAAAUGUUUCCUCAGGGACACACACGUGCAUCUGAGACAGGGAACUGUUGAACAUGGCAGUACAGUUUAUGGACAACAGAUGCAAGGAUGAACAAACGUGGGUCUAUACCUAGCAAAGGACCUAAAGUGUCUAUAACAUAAGCAUCAGGAGGAUCACAGCUUUGGGGUUAUUUUGAGGUAGAUGUCACAAAACACCUAAUAAAUACAACUUAAGGAAGGAAGGGCUCAUGUUGGCUCGUGGUUUGAAAGCUUACAGUCCUCGGUGGAACUAAACACCGUGGUGGGGGUUGGAAGCGUUUUCUACCAAUGAAUGGUCUCUGAAAGCACCAUAUCAGAUAAGCCCAGAGAUGUGUUGUGGGACAAUGAAAGGUACCCUGGUUCCUGGUUGAGGAGGCUUGAACCCCAGAUACCCUGAAAGGGAUGGUAGGUGUUUCACCUGACUCCCAGGAAACCAGGCUGGUCACUAGCAGCAGUCACAUAAAGGGCAACACCACAGGCCCCUCCACAGGUAGAGGAUGUAAGCUCAAGACAGAUCUCCAUUAUAAUGAGGUCUCUAAGUUUAGGCCUGGAGGCUUAGCCAAUGAAUUUCCCUUCUCAGACAAUCCUCCCUGCAAAAGGUAUUUAAUCUCAGGCCCACUCUGAGAAGUGGGGUCUGGUUUUACUCCUCCACUUUCUGCCAUGACAAUAAAUGCCUUAAAACCA